Molecule: transfer RNA, 17 nt
Filed under: Causonis japonica
Lineage: Eukaryota; Viridiplantae; Streptophyta; Magnoliopsida; Vitales; Vitaceae
Also listed under: 8 other names
Description: partial tRNA-His
Source: RNAcentral
GGGGCGGAUGUAGCCAA